GCUUGCUUCUCUUGAGAGCGGCGGACGGGUGAGUAAUGCCUAGGAAUCUGCCUGGUAGUGGGGGAUAACGUUCGGAAACGAACGCUAAUACCGCAUACGUCCUACGGGAGAAAGCAGGGGACCUUCGGGCCUUGCGCUAUCAGAUGAGCCUAGGUCGGAUUAGCUAGUUGGUGAGGUAAUGGCUCACCAAGGCGACGAUCCGUAACUGGUCUGAGAGGAUGAUCAGUCACACUGGAACUGAGACACGGUCCAGACUCCUACGGGAGGCAGCAGUGGGGAAUAUUGGACAAUGGGCGAAAGCCUGAUCCAGCCAUGCCGCGUGUGUGAAGAAGGUCUUCGGAUUGUAAAGCACUUUAAGUUGGGAGGAAGGGCAGUUACCUAAUACGUGAUUGUUUUGACGUUACCGACAGAAUAAGCACCGGCUAACUCUGUGCCAGCAGCCGCGGUAAUACAGAGGGUGCAAGCGUUAAUCGGAAUUACUGGGCGUAAAGCGCGCGUAGGUGGUUUGUUAAGUUGGAUGUGAAAUCCCCGGGCUCAACCUGGGAACUGCAUUCAAAACUGACUGACUAGAGUAUGGUAGAGGGUGGUGGAAUUUCCUGUGUAGCGGUGAAAUGCGUAGAUAUAGGAAGGAACACCAGUGGCGAAGGCGACCACCUGGACUAAUACUGACACUGAGGUGCGAAAGCGUGGGGAGCAAACAGGAUUAGAUACCCUGGUAGUCCACGCCGUAAACGAUGUCAACUAGCCGUUGGAAGCCUUGAGCUUUUAGUGGCGCAGCUAACGCAUUAAGUUGACCGCCUGGGGAGUACGGCCGCAAGGUUAACUCAAAUGAAUUGACG
RNAcentral lists this ribosomal RNA (839 nucleotides) under Pseudomonas sp. Its description in RNAcentral is "bacterial SSU rRNA". It matches the Rfam family "Bacterial small subunit ribosomal RNA", at positions 78 to 915 of the family's 1533-position model. Lineage: Bacteria; Pseudomonadati; Pseudomonadota; Gammaproteobacteria; Pseudomonadales; Pseudomonadaceae. The record is from RNAcentral.